Molecule: ribosomal RNA, 478 nt
Filed under: uncultured bacterium
Lineage: Bacteria
Description: partial 16S ribosomal RNA
Rfam family: Bacterial small subunit ribosomal RNA
Source: RNAcentral
GAUGAACGCUGGCGGCGUGCUUAACACAUGCAAGUCGAACGGGAAACCUUUUACUGACGCUUCGGCAGAUUUAGCUGGUUUCUAGUGGCGGACGGGUGAGUAACGCGUGGGUAACCUGCCUUAUACAGGGGGAUAACAGUCAGAAAUGACUGCUAAUACCGCAUAAGCGCACAGGACCGCAUGGUCCGGUGUGAAAAACUCCGGUGGUAUAAGAUGGACCCGCGUUGGAUUAGCUUGUUGGUGGGGUAACGGCUCACCAAGGCGACGAUCCAUAGCCGGCCUGAGAGGGUGAACGGCCACAUUGGGACUGAGACACGGCCCAGACUCCUACGGGAGGCAGCAGUGGGGAAUAUUGCACAAUGGGGGAAACCCUGAUGCAGCGACGCCGCGUGAAGGAAGAAGUAUCUCGGUAUGUAAACUUCUAUCAGCAGGGAAGAUAGUGACGGUACCUGACUAAGAAGCCCCGGCUAACUACGUG